Molecule: ribosomal RNA, 253 nt
Filed under: uncultured bacterium
Lineage: Bacteria
Description: partial 16S ribosomal RNA
Rfam family: Bacterial small subunit ribosomal RNA
Source: RNAcentral
GACGAGGGGUCCAAGCGUUGUUCGGAAUCAUUGGGCGUAAAGCGGGUGUAGGUGGAUUUAUAAGUCAGGCGUGAAAGCCCCGAGCUUAACUUGGGAAGUGCUUUUGAUACUGCAAAUCUUGAAUGUGGGAGAGGAUCGUGGAAUUCCAGGUGUAGUGGUGAAAUACGUAGAUAUCUGGAGGAACACCGGUGGCGAAGGCGGCGAUCUGGCCCAACAUUGACACUGAGACCCGAAAGCGUGGGGAUCAAACGGG